Molecule: unclassified non-coding RNA, 337 nt
Filed under: soil metagenome
Description: partial contains 5.8S ribosomal RNA, internal transcribed spacer 2, and large subunit ribosomal RNA
Rfam family: 5.8S ribosomal RNA (bases 2-119)
Source: RNAcentral
GUGAAGAACGUAGCGAAAUGCGAUACGUAGUGUGAAUUGCAGAAUUCAGUGAAUCAUCGAAUCUUUGAACGCACAUUGCACCUCUCGGUAUUCCGGGAGGUAUGCCUGUUCGAGCGUCAUUUGUACCCUCAAGCUCUGCUUGGUGUUGGGUGUUUGUUCCGCCUCUGUGUGUGAACUCGCCUCAAAACAAUUGGCAGCCGGCGUACUUGUUUCGGAGCGCAGCACAUUUUGCGAUCCAGAUCAACGUACAGCGGCAUCCAAGAAGCCUUAUUUAACGCUCUUGACCUCGGAUCAGGUAGGGAUACCCGCUGAACUUAAGCAUAUCAUAAGCGGAGGA